GACGAACGCUGGCGGCGUGCUUAACACAUGCAAGUCGAACGGAAAGGCCCUGCUUGCCGGGUACUCGAGUGGCGAACGGGUGAGUAACACGUGGGUGAUCUGCCCUGCACUUCGGGAUAAGCCUGGGAAACUGGGUCUAAUACCGGAUAGGAGCCAUUUUUAGUGUGAUGGUUGGAAAGUUUUUUCGGUGUAGGAUGAGCUCGCGGCCUAUCAGCUUGUUGGUGGGGUAAUGGCCUACCAAGGCGGCGACGGGUAGCCGGCCUGAGAGGGUGGACGGCCACAUUGGGACUGAGAUACGGCUCAGACUCCUACGGGAGGCAGCAGUGGGGAAUAUUGCACAAUGGGCGCAAGCCUGAUGCAGCGACGCCGCGUGGGGGAUGACGGCCUUCGGGUUGUAAACGCCUUUCGCUAGGGACGAAGCUUUUUGUGACGGUACCUAGAUAAGAAGCACCGGCUAACUACGUG
RNAcentral lists this ribosomal RNA (465 nucleotides) under uncultured bacterium. RNAcentral's name for it is "partial 16S ribosomal RNA". It matches the Rfam family "Bacterial small subunit ribosomal RNA", at positions 28 to 507 of the family's 1533-position model. The record is from RNAcentral.